AAUAAACGUUGGCGGUGCGCCUUAUGCAUGCAAGUCGAACGGGGUUACAGCCUUCGGAUUGUAACCUAGUGGCGGACGGCUGAGUAACGCGUAAGUAACCUGCCUUAGAGUGGGAAAUAACCUGCCGAAAGGCAAGCUAAUGUCCCAUGUGGUAACGAAGCAAAUGCUUUGUUAUUAAAGCCUUAGGGUGCUCGAAGAGGGACUUGCGUCUGAUUAGCUAGUUGGUAGGGUAAUGGCCUACCAAGGCGAUGAUCGGUAGCUGGUCUGAGAGGAUGGUCAGCCAGAUGGGGACUGAGACACGGCCCCAACUCCUACGGGAGGCAGCAGCAAGGAAUCUUGGGCAAUGAGCGAAAGCUUGACCCAGCGACACCGCGUGAGGGAUGAAGGCCUUCGGGUUGUAAACCUCUUUUCUUGGGGAAGAAUUCUGACGGUACCC
This 436-nucleotide ribosomal RNA is filed under the name uncultured Dehalogenimonas sp. RNAcentral's name for it is "bacterial SSU rRNA". It matches the Rfam family "Bacterial small subunit ribosomal RNA", at positions 29 to 480 of the family's 1533-position model. The record is from RNAcentral. Lineage: Bacteria; Bacillati; Chloroflexota; Dehalococcoidia; Dehalococcoidales; Dehalococcoidaceae.